Diorhabda sublineata is the source of this 1092-nucleotide long non-coding RNA. RefSeq lists it as uncharacterized. NCBI's taxonomy places the organism in Eukaryota, Metazoa, Arthropoda, Insecta, Coleoptera, Chrysomelidae. The transcript is spliced from 2 exons. The record is from RefSeq and is a predicted model, not a curated record.
AUUAUACAGUGCGCGAAUGUAGUGAUUUCCUAAGCGAUUACAUAAAUAACUAGAUUUUAUACAGCUAUUAAGAAACGAUUUGAUAGCUGGAAAAACGUUACAUGUCUUUUUUUUCACGAAUUCGGUUUUUGAUAUAUAAACGAUCUUGCUUGAUCGAAUCCAACCUUGAAGUAGUUAGUUUCCAAACCGCUAGAUAGCGUAUAACAAACCAUUCUUAGUUUUUGAAAUGGAUCAAAUGUACAUAAAGAUUCCACAAUCUGCUUUGGAACGAAUGAGAGAUUUGUACAUCUGUAGCAGGGUUUUUGCAUUGAAGGUGAACCAAUGUUUUUAAAAUGUAUGUCCGUAGCACACAAUUCUCUUUGAUAUGAUCCUUCCAGGCUAGUCUACUAUCAAAGGAACACAUCGAUGAUUUUCAACCAUCGAUGUUUACUAAAUGAAAAAAAAUCGAUGGCAAAUAUCGAUGUUUUGUCUACCGAUAUCCAUUCCUACGGCUCCGCCUAUGACAUUGACCAUCAAUUGAAUAUUCGAGGUCAGAUAAUUAUACGAACCGCCGGCAUAUACCCCCACUUUUACUAUACUGAGUUCUGAAUCAGGUUGUGUAUGAUUUUUUGGUACCAGCAGUAUUCAGUUCUCAUCAUUCCAAAUUAAAGACAGAAUAAUUGUGGAAGCCUGUUGCACAUAUUGUUUAUAAAGAAAAACAUUAAUAGUUAGCAAUGGAUCAGUAGUGUUAGAGUUAUUUAUUUUGUCAUGGAUCACAAUCUCAAUUCCGAUAAUGCUAAACUACCAAUAACUCAUCAACCUAUUCAACAGCCUCUUGAAAAAUUCCCGUUAAAGAACGAAACUAUUGAAAAUGUUGAAAAUCAUCAACAAUCUGAAGAAAAUACUUGUUUGUUGUUACUUGAGUUUUGUGAGUUAUUGACACUUUGUUGUGAAUGUUGUUUUAAAAUUGGAGUUGAAUCCUAAAAUGUGACGAAAAUACAGUAAGUUUGAUUAUAAAUAUUGAUAAGUUGUUUUGAAGAAUGUACUAUACAUUUUUCAAGCGAUAUUCAUAUCAAAUAAUGGAACAAAUAAUAAAUGUUUAAUAAGUAGUAA